This 373-nucleotide ribosomal RNA is filed under the name uncultured Glomeromycotina. RNAcentral describes it as "LSU rRNA". Lineage: Eukaryota; Fungi; Glomeromycota. The record is from RNAcentral.
UUGAAAGGGAAACGAUUGAAGUCAGUCGUACCUGUGGGUAAUCAGCCUUUUGGGGGUGAUUUUGUGGAGUGUGAGGAGUUAAACGCCUUCAUGCCUGCAUAUUCGUGCACUUUGGGUGUAUUUACCCGUGUGGCAAGUUAACAUCAAUUUCGGUGGUCAUAAAAUGGCUGGAGGAAUGUAGCUUUGAUCUCGUAUUGAAGUGUUAUAGCCUUCGGUAGAUGUGAUAAUCGGGAUUGAGGAUUGCAACGGAUACCCUUCGGGGCUACCUGUCUGAUCUCUGAUCGUUGCUCUGGUGCCGAAAGCUUGCUUACGGUUAUCAAAGUCGAUGGUCAAUAGGUUAGAAUGGGUUAAAUUCGUUAAGGAUGUUGACGUA